This 495-nucleotide ribosomal RNA is filed under the name uncultured bacterium. RNAcentral's name for it is "partial 16S ribosomal RNA". It matches the Rfam family "Bacterial small subunit ribosomal RNA", at positions 28 to 507 of the family's 1533-position model. The record is from RNAcentral.
GACGAACGCUGGCGGCGUGCCUAAUACAUGCAAGUAGAACGCUGAAGGAGGAGCUUGCUCUUCUGGAUGAGUUGCGAACGGGUGAGUAACGCGUAGGUAACCUGCCUGGUAGCGGGGGAUAACUAUUGGAAACGAUAGCUAAUACCGCAUAACAGUAGAUGUUGCAUGACAUUUGCUUAAAAGGUGCAAUUGCACCACUACCAGAUGGACCUGCGUUGUAUUAGCUAGUUGGUGGGGUAACGGCUCACCAAGGCGACGAUACAUAGCCGACCUGAGAGGGUGAUCGGCCACACUGAGACUGAGACACGGCCCAGACGGCUACGGGAGGCAGCAGUAGGGAAUCGUCGGCAAUGGACGGAAGUCUGAGCGAGCAACGCCGAGUGAGUGAAGAAGGUUUUCGGAUCGUAGAGCUCGGUUGUAAGAGAAGAACGAGUGUGAGAGUGGAAAGUUCACACUGUGACGGUAUCUGACCAGAAAGGGACGGCUAACUACGUG